GACGUAGGGUGCGAGCGUUGUCCGGAUUUAUUGGGCGUAAAGAGCUCGUAGGCGGCUCGUCGCGUCGACCGUGAAAACCCGCGGCUUAACUGCGGGCUUGCGGUUGAUACGGGCGGGCUAGAGUUCGGUAGGGGAGACUGGAAUUCCUGGUGUAGCGGUGAAAUGCGCAGAUAUCAGGAGGAACACCAACGGCGAAGGCAGCUCUCUGGGACGUUACUGACGCUGAGACGCGAAAGCGUGGGGAGCAAACAGG
RNAcentral lists this ribosomal RNA (253 nucleotides) under uncultured bacterium. Its description in RNAcentral is "partial 16S ribosomal RNA". It matches the Rfam family "Bacterial small subunit ribosomal RNA", at positions 524 to 776 of the family's 1533-position model. The record is from RNAcentral.